UACGAAGGGGGCUAGCGUUGCUCGGAAUCACUGGGCGUAAAGCGCACGUAGGCGGCUUUCUAAGUCAGAGGUGAAAUCCUGGAGCUCAACUCCAGAACUGCCUUUGAUACUGGAGAGCUUGAGUUCGGGAGAGGUGAGUGGAACUGCGAGUGUAGAGGUGAAAUUCGUAGAUAUUCGCAAGAACACCAGUGGCGAAGGCGGCUCACUGGCCCGGUACUGACGCUGAGGUGCGAAAGCGUGGGGAGCAAACAGG
RNAcentral lists this ribosomal RNA (253 nucleotides) under uncultured bacterium. RNAcentral describes it as "partial 16S ribosomal RNA". It matches the Rfam family "Bacterial small subunit ribosomal RNA", at positions 524 to 776 of the family's 1533-position model. The record is from RNAcentral.